Molecule: ribosomal RNA, 425 nt
Filed under: uncultured microorganism
Description: bacterial SSU rRNA
Rfam family: Archaeal small subunit ribosomal RNA
Source: RNAcentral
GCGCAGCAGGCGAGAAACCUUCGCAAUGCAGGAAACUGCGACGAGGGAACUCCAAGUGCCUACGCUCAGCGUAGGCUGUUCUCAAGCCUAGAAAGCUUGAGGAGUAAGGGCUGGGUAAGACGGGGUGCCAUCUGUGGUAGCAGUUAAUAGAUUCGAUUUGUUACUGCAAGGCAUAAGCCGCCGCGGUAAUACCCGCAGCCCAAGUGGUGGCCGCUUUUAUGGGCCUAAAGCGUCCGUAGCCGGCCCGGUAAAUGCCUGGGUAAAUCGUGGAGCCCAACUUCACGAAUUCCGGGUAGACUGCCGAGCUCGGGGACCGGAAGAGGGAGAGGGGUACUUCAGGGGUAGGGGUGAAAAGUUUCCUUUCCAUUAACGCUUUUGCGCGAAGCGGAAAGGGUUAUCACAAUCCUGUAAUCCCUGGAGGACCA